CUUUCGACCGUUCUGGGAUUUAUUGGCACUAACAUGUAUCGUUUGCUAUAGGUAUUUCCCUUUCGUGUUCCGCUGAGGUACUUUUUGUUUCGAAAAUUUGUUGUUGCAAGUUGGGAGCCCCUCCCGUCCACAGUCAUGUUCAACUUUUCACACGUCUUCUAGAACUUGAUUGACGAUUCUUUGUUCUCGCGCGCCAGAAUUGCUCACGCAUUGUCACUUUCAACGUAUCUUUGAUUGAUUUCGUUGUCGUUAAAGGAUUUGCGAUGUGGGUUGUUAAAGUUCUAAACACGGAUGUGCACUGUUUGCCGGUAUUAGUAGCGGUAGUGGUGUGCGUUUUCGCUCUUCUCCUCAUGGUCCGAGGUAAACCUCGAAGAGGAAAAGUAAGUCAUAGGCCAUUUAUCAAAACCAGAGGUCGUCGUCCUUCGCCAAGGAUAACUCUCCUUUUCGGCAACAGGGAAUUUCCAAAUGGCCUGACAUUCACUCCCAAAAAUUCUUCAAGUCAACCACCGCUGUCAAUUAGAUCUUCUCCUUUCAAAACAAGACAUGUUAGAAAUAUCCCAGAAAAGUGUUGUGGAAACCGCACAUGGCCAGAUGUCUUGACCUCUGCCAAUCACAGCCUGAAGCAAAAAGUUCCUCAGCCGAAAAAGAAAAAAUCCAUGAAGGAGAAAAAUAUAAAACCAAGAGUGUUGUUUGCAUCUCAAUCUGUCCAUGAAAAGCAGGUUGCUUCUGAGGAAGAUAAAGCUGAACUCAUUCUACAGGACAGGCUGAAACGCAGGGAUAAUGGACAUAUUGAACAAGCUAAGACUAGCGGUUUGUGUGAACCAGACCCAUCUUUGUCUUCAAAUGUCAAGGAAAGUUGUGGGCAUGCAGACAGUCUGGGUAAAUCAAUUUCUCCAUUGAAUACUAAAAUUCCACCAGAUGAUGGACAAGUUUCUCACAACAGCUCAGCAAGCACAGUAAAUAAUGAACAUUUGCCUAAGGUUGAGGCAAAAAUUGAUACAACUAGGCUGUCUGCAGAUGUACCUAAAACAGGAAAGCCCUAUGAAGUUAAAUGGGAUGAACAAAUUAAACAAGCUAAGACUGGAGUUUUGUGUGAGCCAGACCCAUCUUUAUCAUUAAAUGGCAAGGGAAGGUGCAGGCAUGUACAUAGUCAGGGUAAAUCAAUUUCUCCAUCAAAUACAAAGGUUUUAUUGGGAGAUGGACAAGUUUCUCAAAACAGAUCAACAAGCACAAGAAAUAGUGAACUUUCACUUAAGGUCGAGGCAAAAAUUGAUACAACUAUGCUGUCUGCAGAUGUAACUAAAACAGGAAAGUCCUAUGAAGUUAAAUGGGAUGAACAAAUCAAACAAGCUAAGACUGGUGUUUUGUGUGAGCCACACCCAUCUUUAUCAUUAAAUAGCAAGGAAAGGUGCAGGCAUGUACAUAGUCAGGGUAAAUCAAUUUCUCCAUCAAAUACAAAGGUUUUACUGGGAGAUGGACAAGUUUCUCAAAACAGAUCAGCAAGCACAAGAAAUAGUGAACUUUCACCUGAGCUUAAUUCAAAAGUUGGUACAAUUUGCUUGCCUGUAGAUGUAACUAAAAGAGAAAAGCCCUAUCAAGUUAAAUGGGAUGCAAAAAUUUCUAGAACUCCUUGUGAACGAUUUUCAUAUUUUUUAACUCUGAGAGAUGUAGAGUCUAUUUCACAUGUAUCUUCAGAACAUGGCUCAUCAUUUGUAACUUUUCUGCCCAUUGGAGGUCACACCUGCAGGCAAGGUCAAAGUCAGGAAAAUUUGUCAUCAACAACAACAACAACAACGAAUACAAGUUUAUGCCAAACUCUGCAGACUAAUGAUUGUCAUACAGAUAAGGUAGAGCACAAAGCUCCUGAAUCUUCCCAAAACACUUCUGCACCUGAUAACCGGGAAGUUGAUGAAAUUGAAUUGAUGGAUCUGUCUUGGGACAAUUCUGAUUGUUUUAGUGGAAACAGUGCAGGGUCCAGAGAAUCUAGCCCACUGGAACUUAUUAAGGAAGUGAGUUGUUCAUCUGACAACAGCAUUGGUAAGAGUGAACGUAAAAUGCGAUCAUCCAGGAAAAAGGCUGUAAAAUCUCACAAGAGAGAGGUGGUUAACUUUCACUGUAACAAUUGUGAUGUCAGUAAUGAUGCUGCACAUUUGUCCAAGACACAAUCAUCCACAGAGAAGAAUGGAAAAUUUCCCAUCCAGAAGCCAGUGACCUGUAACCAUAAGAACUCUGAUGCCAAUGAUGUUGUUGCUCAGGCAUCAAAGUCUGAAGUGCAUUGUAUACUGUGUGGUAUCAGAUUGUCUAAACCACAAUGUUUUUAUAGUUUGGGUUCCCUGUGCACUGAUGAUGACAUUUGUGAAACUACCUCAGAUGAUAUUAAUCGACAUCUUGUAAGUGAUGUUGACACAAACCCUCCAGCAGGGGAAGGUAAAGGUCACCCUGACACAGGAUACACCAGCAGUGAAGAACUUGAAAAUGAAAGCGUCUUGCCAAAAGAGGUGGAGGCAAUUCUUACUCACAAAAGACGAAGGACAGAUGGUUAUGAUGGUGAUCAUGAGAGUGACAGCAGUUUUGAAUCUUUUGUCUUUACAUUGUCUUCAAGUGAAGAUGAGCGAGAAGCAGUUUCAGUCAAGGAAUAUGUGAAACAGGAAACAAAUAAGAGACAGGAGAUGGCAAUAUCACAGACUAUAGAAAAGGUCCAGAAAUUAAUUGCAAAAGCUCCAGCUGAAAAAGAGUGAAUUAAUCACUAAGACAACAGGGUGAACUGGAGCAGCAUUUGACUUCAUGGAUGGUUAACUUACUAUCAUUAUUUAUUCAAAGUGAAAUGUGCCUGCAUUGAUAUACCACUAUUCAAGUUGUUCACCUUUCUCAUUUGUGAAAAGAAGGCUGUGGCAUGAGUUACCUUUCGAUAGCUGGGGUACCUAAGGACACUCCUGAUGUUAAAUUAGCUGCUAAAGGUCACAGACACCAUAAUAUUGUAAUGUGGGAGAAACAAAUGUCAACUACCAUGUCUCUUGAUUUGUCAUGAAUUGGAUCUUUCAUUCAAGGGACAUCUGCAGAACUACAAAUUGCCAUACUGGUUGUCUUCAUUGCCUUCCUCACUUCUUACGCUCUUCACUUCUGUCCACUGUGGUGUCAAUUUGCAGUGAGGGUGACUGUCUGUUUUAUAGGUAAAGAAGACUAGCUAAUUCAUGAUUUCACUGAAAUGUUCAUCCAAUGUUCUGUUUUUCAGGAUCAAUGUCAGUAUCUGAGCCACUUCACUGAUAACAAGUUAGGGUUAAUGUUGGGGAAAGGGAAGGGUAGGUGCACAGUUGCUCAGUUACUCACAUUGAGGUGAAUAUUGAUCCGUUUUUUGCAUAUGCAGGUAGAAAUUGUUUAGUUUUGUCUUUAACUGAGAUUGAAAAAUUCCAUGAUGACCUCGCAAGCUCUCUGACUUCUUGUAUUUAUUGGUGUCAUUCAUGCUGGUAUGAGUCUAAGCUUUUUCCAUAUUGUGUUUUUAUCCAUCUUCUCUUAUCCUCUCUGCACCCUUAAAUGAAGGCCAUGUCUUUUCCAUCGAGUAGAUGUGUCAACUGAAUACUUGCCUCCUGAUAUAUUUUUAUUUUCUAUCUCUUUUUAGCAAUAAAUCUCCUGGUGUCAUCUGAUAUCUAAUGUUCUCUGCGUGUACCUCUUCUACGACCUAUCACUGUUUCAGUGCAAUCCCUGACUGUCGUUUUAAUGUUGCUUUCACACUUUUACACCCACAUUAUUCCGUGAAGCUUCAAAGCUCUUGGAACGCUCUACUCAGAAUUUUCGGAUCAAUAUCAGUAUCUGGGCAACGGCCCACCUACCCCUCGGUUAGGGAAGGGUUAGGUGGGCAGUUGCCCAGAUACUGAUAUUGAUCCGAAUUUUCCUGGUUGGUCUGUGUCCGUCUGUAACAUUCCACGUAUUCUUGUGAAUGCCCA
Molecule: RNA transcript, 3941 nt
Organism: Pocillopora damicornis (cauliflower coral)
Lineage: Eukaryota; Metazoa; Cnidaria; Anthozoa; Scleractinia; Pocilloporidae
Source: RefSeq, a predicted model, not a curated record